AUUGAACGCUGGCGGCAUGCUUUACACAUGCAAGUCGGACGGCAGCACAGAGAAGCUUGCUUCUUGGGUGGCGAGUGGCGAACGGGUGAGUAACAUAUCGGAACGUACCGAGUAGUGGGGGAUAACUGGUCGAAAGAUCAGCUAAUACCGCAUACGUCUUGAGAGGGAAAGCAGGGGACCUUCGGGCCUUGCGCUAUUCGAGCGGCCGAUAUCUGAUUAGCUAGUUGGUGGGGUAAAGGCCUACCAAGGCGACGAUCAGUAGCGGGUCUGAGAGGAUGAUCCGCCACACUGGGACUGAGACACGGCCCAGACUCCUACGGGAGGCAGCAGUGGGGAAUUUUGGACAAUGGGCGCAAGCCUGAUCCAGCC
Molecule: ribosomal RNA, 369 nt
Filed under: Neisseria meningitidis
Lineage: Bacteria; Pseudomonadati; Pseudomonadota; Betaproteobacteria; Neisseriales; Neisseriaceae
Description: bacterial SSU rRNA
Rfam family: Bacterial small subunit ribosomal RNA
Source: RNAcentral